UAUAAAGGAAGAAAGGAGAUAAUAAAGAAAAGGGGACGAUGAUGAAAAUGCGUGUGGGAGGAAAUGAAAUUUGAGAUAGAAAACAAUAAACAGGAUGUGAUAGAUUUGUGACAAAGAUGCAAAGGAGCCAGCUUUGAUUAUAAAAACCAUGCAGAGAGAGAAAGAGAGAAAGAGAGACAGAGACAGAGAGAGAGAGAGAGAGAGACAGAGAGAGAGAGACAGAGAGAGAGGUAGAUAGAUAGAUGGAUAGAUAGACAGACAGACAGACACAUACAUGCAUGCAUACAUACAUACAUACAUACAUGGAUAGAUAGAUAGAUAGAUAGAUAGAUAGAUAGAUAGAUAGAUAGGUAGACAGAGAUAGAGACAGAAAGAGAAAGAGAGAGAGAGUGUGCGUGUGUGUGUGUGUUUGUGUGGUUGUGUGUGCGUGUGUGUGUGUGUGUGUGUUUGUGUGGCUGUGUGUGCGUGUGUGUGUGUUAUGAGUUAGUGGUUGACAGAGUUGUCCGGUGUGACUGUUUGGUUCAUAUAGCGCCAGGAUCCUUAGUUAUAUUUGUGUGGAGACACUGAGAGGCAUUUAUUUCGUCGAGGUUGAUUGCUUGGUUGAUCAAAUGUUGUGACAAGAAGCGCUCGUAACCUGUCCGCGGAGUGCUGAAGUUGAAAGAACAGGCCUUGCUCGAUGAACUCUGGAAAAUUUUCAGACCCCUAAACGUUAGCCAAUAGCUAAACAGAGACAGUUGAUGGUGAAGGGCAGUGAAAUAACAGAGUAGGGUGGAGUACAAAGGUUAGGGAAUAGAGAAGAGAGAGAGAGAGAGAGAGAGAAAAUGAAUCAUUGAUGGUACAGGUGAUGCUGUUCCACUGGAUGAGCAAGUGACAUAAGAGAGAACAGAAAAGAAAAUUAAAACAAAAAAAAAAAAAACCAGCAAGUAAACAAAAAAGCGAAAAUGGUUUCAAGGAAAUUGUGGAGCAGGGUUCAGUUUUCAGGGAUGAUGAAAUAUAGGAACAGAGAUGAGGGAUAGAAACGAAUGAGUAUUUAACGACAGCAAAAUCUUUCAUGAAGGAAAGGGAAGAAAAUCUACAAUACAGUAGUAAACGGGAGAAAGAAAAAUGAACAGAAAGAGCGACUGAAGUAGAAGAGAAAUAAAGCAGGCCAGAUGAGAAGUAGGCUACAUGAGACUUGAGCCAUAAUCAAGUGGGCUGCACUGCUAAAAAUUAUAAAGAUUCCAGAGAAAUUUACCCGGAAGAUAUGAAGAUGCAAGAACCAAUACAAAAUGAGCUAUCACCUACAGAAACAUAACAGGGAUGAAAUAUCCUCUCAAAAAUAUUAACUAAAUGUUAACUAAAAAAUAUGAAUGUAAUAAAAAUUAAAAUAUUAAAAUUCCAAUUCCUUUUCAAAAUUCCUCCUUUCAUUAAGAAAAUAAUUAAUCUGGUGUCAGAAGUAUAUAUUACAGGAUAAAUGAUUCUUCUCCAAUAAGAGUAAAAUUUGACCAUGCAUUGUUAUGUAUCAGUAAUCUGACAGGGUGGACUAAAUUAGCAACUCAUAGCUUGUUUUUUAAUCACAACUCACACUUAAUUGAGCAGACUUAUAAGUGAAAGAUUUUCUGACCUUGAGCAUUCCAUCUUUUGUUUUAAAACAGUCUAUUGAAGACUACAUUAUCUAAUAAGACUUUUCUUUUUCUUAUUUUUUUUUUAUGUUAGGGUACAUGUUGAAGAAAAUUUGGCUGCUAUUUCUAGUGAGCUGAGUGACCACAGAAAGAUUGCCCUUCAUUGGCUUGUAAAUUUUGUGUUGAUAUUUGGUUCAAUUGUCUCAUUGAGGAUCCCUUUCUUUAUAUGACUUACAGGAGAAAGGACCUCAAAGACCUGGAGGGAAAAAGUAAAGUUAUCCUUAGACCAGAGACUCUGCCUGAAUAUUUGCAACAAAGUAGAUAUCAUUAAAGGCAUCAAGGGUCAGGUGAUGUUAAACCAGGUUGCGGAUUAAUUCAUUUGUGCAUUCCCUAAUUCACAUAAUUGUAGAGAAUCAAUAGAGUAUCUGGUAAUCUUAUCUGCAACGCAUAGUGUUCUAUACAUAGAUUUCUUUCAUUCACAAACAACACUGAAUAGAAAGUUGAACACCAGCUUCAUGAGCUUGUGAAAACAUCAUUUAUCAUGCAAGUUCAUAUAUAUAAUCAAUAAUAAUUAUAUUCUCUCAUGUUGAGUCAGGUCUAAGAAAUCUCAUUUUCUUUUCAUGCUCAGAGUCUCAGAACAAUAGCAGUAAUAUAGCACAUAACAAUGAAGCCAUUUCUUUACUUACCAAUCUGAAUCUAACAACUUUUGGUAGCAACGAAGAAUUUGAAAUGUUUCUAAACAUGUUGCUCAGCAAAGAAAACUUUGGUUGAGAUCAAAAUACAAAAGCUUGAUGGAUUAUCUUGAAACCAGAUAAGACAAUUAAGAAAACUAAUGUAGACAGAACUUUGAUAGAGAUAAAGAAAGGAAAUAACAUGCUUUCUAUUACAGUUUAUAUAAAUCUUAUGAAAAUAAUUUUUCAAUGCUAACUAUUCAUUCCAGAAUAUUCUAACUCUAUGUGAAAAUAUCAUUGCUACUUCAAUACUGGAAAAUGGAAAAAUUCUAAUGGACUAAUGAAUUAGUCUUUAAUCUAAAUUGUAGUUCUGGUCAACAAAUUUUUUGCUUUGAAUAAAAUUUCCUGAUAACCAUUAAUAGUCAAGGAAACCAAGCUGUCUUUACAAAACUACCAACUGCCUUUAUACGUAUAUGUAUUGACAAUUAACGGAAAUAGAUGUUCAGUCAAUUGCAUAAACAUUACUGUAUCUUUCAAGAUGUUUUGAUAGACAGAAAAAAAUUGAAAAAAAAAGACAUCAAAUAAAAUAAAAAUAUAAUCAGAAAAUGAAAAUUUGUGAA
This is a long non-coding RNA of Octopus bimaculoides (California two-spot octopus), 2892 nucleotides long. RefSeq lists it as uncharacterized. NCBI's taxonomy places the organism in Eukaryota, Metazoa, Mollusca, Cephalopoda, Octopoda, Octopodidae. The record is from RefSeq and is a predicted model, not a curated record.